GGGUCGUUAGCUCAGUCGGUAGAGCACCGGCCUUUUAAGCCGUUGGUCCUGGGUUCGAGCCCCAGACGACCCACCA
RNAcentral lists this transfer RNA (76 nucleotides) under Gammaproteobacteria bacterium. RNAcentral describes it as "tRNA-Lys". It matches the Rfam family "tRNA". From Rfam's summary of the family: Transfer RNA (tRNA) molecules are approximately 80 nucleotides in length. Their secondary structure includes four short double-helical elements and three loops (D, anti-codon, and T loops). Further hydrogen bonds mediate the characteristic L-shaped molecular structure. tRNAs have two regions of fundamental functional importance: the anti-codon, which is responsible for specific mRNA codon recognition, and the 3' end, to which the tRNAs corresponding amino acid is attached (by aminoacyl-tRNA synthetases). tRNAs cope with the degeneracy of the genetic code in two manners: having more than one tRNA (with a specific anti-codon) for a particular amino acid; and 'wobble' base-pairing, i.e. permitting non-standard base-pairing at the 3rd anti-codon position. Lineage: Bacteria; Pseudomonadati; Pseudomonadota; Gammaproteobacteria. The record is from RNAcentral.